UUUUCCCCGGACAGCCCUGCCGCCUGCGGGGAGAGGGGACUUAAGGGUCUGCGGCUUGUCCCUUCUCCCCGUCGAAACGGGGAGAAGGUCGCGGCAG
This 97-nucleotide small RNA is filed under the name Sinorhizobium meliloti 2011. RNAcentral's name for it is "putative ncRNA". The record is from RNAcentral. Lineage: Bacteria; Pseudomonadati; Pseudomonadota; Alphaproteobacteria; Hyphomicrobiales; Rhizobiaceae.